This 523-nucleotide ribosomal RNA is filed under the name uncultured bacterium. RNAcentral describes it as "bacterial SSU rRNA". It matches the Rfam family "Bacterial small subunit ribosomal RNA", at positions 87 to 644 of the family's 1533-position model. The record is from RNAcentral.
CGGGCUUAGUGGCGGACGGGUUAAGUAACGCGUGGGAAUGUACCCUUCACUACGGAAUAGUCCCGGGAAACUGGGUUUAAUACCGUAUACGCCCUUCGGGGGAAAGAAUUUCGGUGAAGGAUCAGCCCGCGUUAGAUUAGGUAGUUGGUGGGGUAAUGGCCUACCAAGCCUACCAUCUAUAGCUGGUUUGAGAGGAUGAUCAGCAACACUGGGACUGAGACACGGCCCAGACUCCUACGGGAGGCAGCACUGGGGAAUCUUACAUUAUGGGGGAAACCCUGAUCUAGCCAUGCCGCGUGAGUGACGAAGGUCUUAGGAUCGUAAAGCUCUUUCAACUGUGAAGAUAAUGACGGUACGCAGUAGAAGAAACCCCGGCUAACUCCGUGCCAGCAGCCGCGGUAAUACGGAAGGGGUUAGCGUUGUUCGGAAUUACCGGGCGUAAAGCGCACGUAGGCGGAUUGGAAAGUUGGGGGUGAAAUCCCGGGGCUCAAACUCGGAACUGCCUCCAAAACUAUCAGUCCAA